AGAGUUUGAUCCUGGCUCAGAUUGAACGCUGGCGGAAUGCUUUACACAUGCAAGUCGAGCGGCAGCGCGGGGGCAACCCUGGCGGCGAGCGGCGAACGGGUGAGUAAUACAUCGGAACGUGUCCUUGAGUGGGGGAUAGCUCGGCGAAAGCCGGAUUAAUACCGCAUAAGCUCUGAGGAGGAAAGCGGGGGAUUCGCAAGGACCUCGCGCCGUUGGAGCGGCCGAUGUCGGAUUAGCUAGUUGGUGGGGUAAAGGCCCACCAAGGCGACGAUCCGUAGCUGGUCUGAGAGGAUGAUCAGCCACACUGGAACUGAGACACGGUCCAGACUCCUACGGGAGGCAGCAGUGGGGAAUUUUGGACAAUGGGGGCAACCCUGAUCCAGCCAUUCCGCGUGAGUGAAGAACGCCUUCGGGUUGUAAAGCUCUUUCGGACGGAACGAUAAUGGUUACGGCUAACACCUGUGACUGAUGACGGUACCGUAUCGACGAAGCACCGGCUAACUACGUGCCAGCAGCCGCGGUAUUACGUAGGGUGCGAGCGUUAAUCACGAAUGACUGGGCGUACAGCGCUGCGGCUGGCUGGCGAGCUCAACGUNAUGGGUGCUGACCAUCCCACCGGGNCCUGCAAGGCCAUGUGGNAAUUCUGGCGGCCCUUGGAAAAACCGUAACCGGUUUCGCCCUACCAAAGUUUGUUAGGGCAGCAACGGGUGGGGCGUAGUAAAUUUUCCACCCGUUGUUAGGCAGUUGCAACUUGCGGUAGAAAAUGGUUGACGAACCACCGAGUCGCUAAAGCAUG
RNAcentral lists this ribosomal RNA (796 nucleotides) under uncultured bacterium. RNAcentral's name for it is "bacterial SSU rRNA". The stretch from base 2 to 547 matches the Rfam family "Bacterial small subunit ribosomal RNA", at positions 9 to 546 of the family's 1533-position model. The record is from RNAcentral.